AGGCGAAAAGAACCCCGGCGAGGGGAGUGAAAAAGAACCUGAAACCGUGUACGUACAAGCAGUGGGAGCACAGGUUUACCUGUGUGACUGCGUACCUUUUGUAUAAUGGGUCAGCGACUUAUAUUCUGUAGCAAGGUUAACCGUAUAGGGGAGCCGUAGGGAAACCGAGUCUUAACCGGGCGUUAAGUUGCAGGGUAUAGACCCGAAACCCGGUGAUCUAGCCAUGGGCAGGUUGAAGGUUGGGUAACACUAACUGGAGGACCGAACCGACUAAUGUUGAAAAAUUAGCGGAUGACCUGUGGCUGGGGGUGAAAGGCCAAUCAAACCGGGAGAUAGCUGGUUCUCCCCGAAAGCUAUUUAGGUAGCGCCUCGUGAAUUCAUCUCCGGGGGUAGAGCACUGUUUCGGCUAGGGGGCCAUCCCGGCUUACCAACCCGAUGCAAACUGCGAAUACCGGAGAAUGUUAUCACGGGAGACACACGGCGGGUGCUAACGUCCGUCGUGAAGAGGGAAACAACCCAGACCGCCAGCUAAGGUCCCAAAGUCAUGGUUAAGUGGGAAACGAUGUGGGAAGGCCCAGACAGCCAGGAUGUUGGCUUAGAAGCAGCCAUCAUUUAAAGAAAGCGUAAUAGCUCACUGGUCGAGUCGGCCUGCGCGGAAGAUGUAACGGGGCUAAACCAUGCACCGAAGCUGCGGCAGCGAACGUAUCACCCAAGACAACUUUACGGAGUUGACGAUUGACGGAGCGAAGCGACGUCAAAGCGUUCAUUAAAGUCGAGUUGGCUUAGGGAUACGUUCGUUGGGUAGGGGAGCGUUCUGUAAGCCUGUGAAGGUGUGUCGUGAGGCAUGCUGGAGGUAUCAGAAGUGCGAAUGCUGACAUAAGUAACGAUAAAGCGGGUGAAAAGCCCGCUCGCCGGAAGACCAAGGGUUCCUGUCCAACGUUAAUCGGGGCAGGGUGAGUCGACCCCUAAGGCGAGGCCGAAAGGCGUAGUCGAUGGGAAACGGGUUAAUAUUCCCGUACUUGGUGUUACUGCGAAGGGGGGACGGAGAAGGCUAUGUUGGCCGGGCGACGGUUGUCCCGGUUUAAGCGUGUAGGUGUGUGUUCCAGGUAAAUCCGGUUCACUUUAACACUGAGGCGUGACGACGAGGCACUACGGUGCUGAAGCAACAAAUGCCCUGCUUCCAGGAAAAGCCUCUAAGCAUCAGGUAACAC
RNAcentral lists this ribosomal RNA (1211 nucleotides) under Salmonella enterica subsp. enterica serovar Typhimurium. RNAcentral describes it as "partial 23S ribosomal RNA". It matches the Rfam family "Bacterial large subunit ribosomal RNA", at positions 512 to 1637 of the family's 2925-position model. Lineage: Bacteria; Pseudomonadati; Pseudomonadota; Gammaproteobacteria; Enterobacterales; Enterobacteriaceae. The record is from RNAcentral.